UUCCAGAGAAAUCUAGACGAUCCUUUGGGUAAUAUCAUAAUCAGGUCCUUGACUGAUAUAUUCAGUUUUAAAUUUGCUUUACAUAAUGUUAUAUUAACGGCAAACAAAAUAGCUAUGCAGAAAACCGUCUCAACGAUUGCACAUGAGCAGCGGCCAAGUUGCAUAACACAACAAUAAUCACUGCUUUUUCUGGUUAAAUUAAACUUUGAGUAAUUGAUAUAAAUAAUAUGAUAACCUGUUCAACUUGUUUUUAACUUUUUUGACCUGUUCGAUUUCAGAAAAUAGGCGUUUGAUACUUUUGUCGCUUUAAACUAGCAUAACCCUGGCAUCAGAUUCUGCACAUCCUAACCAUUGCUAACGAGUUCAACACAAUAUCACUCUUACGGGCGUGGUAGUGCCGUGGUCAUCAUCGUUUCAUAAAGAUAGAAAUAGCAGCAUUUACCAACUCUCUUUUUUUGUGACGCAAGAGGUAUCCUAAAAUUGAAAAAAAAAAAAAUUCUCUUUUCACUCUAGAGUAGUGAGUGAGCUUGCAUAGGAUAUAUUCCGAUGCGAAUAGAUUGAGGCUUCAUUAUAACCUAUGCUGUUCGGAAAUUGGGAAUCGGCCUUCAUUGAAGAAAAGUUGACUAAAAACUUGGAUUCGAAAUGAAGAUUCCGAUUCAAUACAUUCUUCUUAUGUUUAUCGAGACAUUUCCAUUCAUUAAAGGUGAGAAAUGCUGGGCGCCUAUGGUUUGCGACGGGCAACCUACUUGGAGAGACGUUAAUACGACGGGACAGUGCACAAAAGACGAACAGAAUGCUUUGAAAGGUUUCGCAGCUUUAACUGAAAAAUUAGAC
Molecule: non-coding RNA, 834 nt
Organism: Styela clava
Lineage: Eukaryota; Metazoa; Chordata; Ascidiacea; Stolidobranchia; Styelidae
Source: RefSeq, a predicted model, not a curated record